GCCUCGUUAGCUCACGGCUAACACUAAGUUAGCCAGGUGUGGCUGCCGCCCACCCGGCACGUUAUAAAUGCACUCAUUUAUAACACUCACAGCACAAGUGUGUGCCUCUGACCUCAGUGUCACCUGCAUACCUGCCCCCGGGCUUCUGCAGUUUAACAUAACGUUGUUAUGAAGAAUGAAAGUACAGGCGUGGUGAUCAGGUGUGUGUGAGAGCUCUGCACGGUCGGACUUGCAGCCUGGAGGAGGAGGAGGGUGAAGCUUCAUGGACAUAGUGAAGGACUCAGCGGGCUGUGGUUAACUGUAAAGGGUGGAGGCUUUUAUAAGGUGUAGAUGCAGAGGGCUUCACACGCGGAGCCUGAUGAAGAUAACAGGAAAUUCAGAAUUUUUGGAUUCACGCGUUCAGCAGCAGGUUUCCUGGUUUGAUCCCAGGAGGGAUCGUUUCAGUCUGGAGCAGCAGCGAGCGAAUUUUAUUCUCAGGUUUCUGCAGCAUCUCCGUGUGAUGGCGCAGGUACGAGUACAGGUGUGCUCUGAAACUCUGGAGACCUUUGAGCACAAAAUAUCUGGAAACCACAGCUGCGAAGACAGACUGUAAAACACCUGGAUAAACAAUCACCAUGGAGUGUGACAGGUAGCUGGAACCAGAACCUCCACAAUGUUAGUGUUUGUCCUGGGGAAAUGCGCCUGUCAGGUAAACUCAGCUCACACUUUCUACCUGGAGUUCAAACAUUGGCCGGUAAACACCUGACACCUCGUUUAAACAUCUCUCAGCCUGAUUGGAGGAAACCGUGAGGUCAGGACAGCGCUUAAGUCUGCACGGGAACAGCAGUGAGGUUUCUCCAGAGUCUGCUCCCUGACGCUCCCCACGACAAGCCACUCUGGGCGUCGGCCUUUGGUCACAUGUUGGCGUUUUAAAGAAGAAGAAACUCUGCGUUUACCUGAGGAAAACUGAGAUUUAACCUCGUCGAUGGUGCGCACAGCUAUCUGCUACUUUUUUGCUGCGUUAUUCUUUCUUUUUUGACCAACAUUUCUGCACAGGUAGGGUUGUAUUGCCUUGAGCAGGUAUUUUAGUAUUUUUGAUCUUCUAGUUUAGCCAAACUUCACCUGCAGCUCAAACGUCCCUGGUGGCAGGUGAGGCUUCAGCUUCUGCAGCAGUGAUCAAUAACAGUCAUUGACAGGUGAUCAGGUCCACGUGGAAACAUGCAGAGGGUCAGUCUGAGAACAAGCGUGUCUAUGAAAGUGUGAAAUAUCCAGCUUCUGUCCCAGCGCUGAACACCUCCCAAAACCUCCAUCCUGAUCCUCUCCACAGGUCUGUGCGGCCUCCUCCUGUCCUGUGGCGCCUCCUCCUGUCCUGUGGCGCCUCCUCCUGUCCUGUGGCGCCGCCUCCUGUGGCACCACCUCCUGUGCGGCCUCCUCCACACCGUCUGUUUCUGUGUGAAGUCUGAAGAACCACAGCGAACUGGGAUUAACGCUGUAAUCAGCUGAUCAUCGUGGAGUUUCCGAUGUUAACCAAACUGACUAAUCGCAGCGCUGUGAUGUCAUCAGUACACCAGAUCCUCAUAUUUAAGAAACCAUGAAGGUUCAUCUCUUGCUGUGAUGUCACAGCUGUCAUCACAGCGACCUGAUUGGUCAGUUUAUGGUUUGUGUCGUUGUGUCUUCAGGUCUGUCGGCACGCUCAGCUGCUCCUUCAGAGUUAAGCCGCUUUUUUUUUUUCUCUUUUGUGUAGUAAACCAACAUAGUUUUGCUGUUGUGAAUUAGAGUUAAGGUAUUCCUCCCAACUCUGGCACUAUAAAGACAAGACAUAGCAAUGUUACACUUAAGACAUAGCAUUAGGGACUGCUUUGGCCUUCCUUAUAACCCUAGCCACCAUCCUUAUUAUCCCAGUUAGCAUAGUCACAGUCGUUAGUAUAGACAGAGAAACAGAGAGCAACUUCUGGAGCUGAAAAGAAAUGCAUUGCCACUUAAGACUGGCUCCAGAAGAUGGCCAGCUCUAUAGACUAAAGGACUAAACUGCACAGAUUUAGGGCAGAUAUAAGCAUGUUUGCACUGUAGUAUGAUCAACAGGUCGAAUUUAGGUAUAAAUUCACCCUUUAAGUUAACCCAUUAAAUUAUCUUAAUGAUAUUUCAGUUCAUGUUAACACUGAUUAGCAGAUAUUUAUACCUGUGUUAAACCCAUAGUGUCUGUUUAUACAACCUGCUACUACCUAAGCAAAUUCACACUAGCUGCUAAGUUAGCGCUCUACUUUGUUGCAUGAAUAUUAGAUUUUACAACAAAAAACAAAAUUCUACAUUCAAAACAGGAUAAUGUAUAAGUGAGUAGAAUUAGCCUUUAUAUACAUUAAAUCCAAAUCCAAAAUCAGAACAUAGUAUAGCUUUGGCCAUAGAGUUAAGCCGCUCUUGUUUGCAUCACAACCGACGUAAACAAUGAACAAACCAGCAGUGAAACGUCCAAUCACAGCACAGAACCACGACCCGUCUCAGAGACUUGGGAUCGCUGUCUUAACCAAUGGGCGGGGCCUAAGUGCCGCACUUGAUGCUGAAGCUCAGUGUGACGGUCUUCAUGUGUUUUCCCGUUUAUUCACACGGUUCGUUUCUCACCGACCUGCAGGAACGUUCUGCUUCCAUCAGAGCGCCGCCUGGAGACCAGGCGCAGGUGGAGCAGUGUGGUGUUCUCUAAAUGUCAUGUUAAACAAAAGCAACACGGUCCUCCAAUUAGCUAAUAGGAAGCAGCUCCACCCUGAUGAUAUCAUAACUCAUGUUCAGAGCCGUUACAUCACAGUUAUCAGGAAGCAGAGCGGCGCCACACGGCGAGGCUGCCCUGCAGGUUUAGUGUUCACAAUCACAGCGACACACUCACAUACACACACCUGCUGAAUGACAUCACAAAUCUGUCCAGUAUGAGGUUAUUUUAAAUAUUUGUAAGCCUAAAACCUGACAAUAGUAAAAGGUUUUACAUCACUAACACUGAACAUGUAUGACGAGGCAUCCUCUACCGUGUCACACGUCAGAUUACCGUCACAUCAUAAUCAAUAACCUGAGCCGUCGCCUCUACGCCCUUCAGCUUCCUGUCACAUGACAUGUCAGCAGAGGAAAUGUCAGGCGCUGCAGCAGAGCGCCCCCUGCUGGAGUGAAUAAACGCCAGGGACCAAGUCUCAGUCCUUCAGACCACAGACUGUAAAUGAAUGAUGGAGCUGAACUGUGAGGUCAGAGGUUACCAUCUUAACCGCUUCCUGUCCUAAAACGCGUCUGGAAAAACUUCAGCGAGCUCACAGAUCAGCUGGCUUCUGUCCAAUCAGACUUCAGAGUCAGCCCCGGAUUAAACAGGACGCAGGUGUUACCUUUACAUCCAUCCUUUAUGUACAGUCUGAUUUUGGCCAGCAGAGCCGCAGUCAGGGAGGGGCAGAGACUAGGGCUGUUUGAUGUAACGAUAUAUAUCGGAUGACGAUAUAAGAACGUCUAUCGUUUCAU
This is a non-coding RNA of Maylandia zebra (zebra mbuna), 3465 nucleotides long. The record is from RefSeq and is a predicted model, not a curated record. Lineage: Eukaryota; Metazoa; Chordata; Actinopteri; Cichliformes; Cichlidae.